GGGUCGUUAGCUCAGUUGGUAGAGCAGCGGACUCUUAAUCCGUUAGUCAAAGGUUCGAGCCCUUUACGACCCA
This 73-nucleotide transfer RNA is filed under the name Lonepinella koalarum. It matches the Rfam family "tRNA". From Rfam's summary of the family: Transfer RNA (tRNA) molecules are approximately 80 nucleotides in length. Their secondary structure includes four short double-helical elements and three loops (D, anti-codon, and T loops). The record is from Rfam by way of RNAcentral. Lineage: Bacteria; Pseudomonadati; Pseudomonadota; Gammaproteobacteria; Pasteurellales; Pasteurellaceae.